GUGAGCUAGGAAGAGGAAUAAAUAGUCUAAGAGCCUUGAGAAUGGAAACACAGAGGAAACCCUGAGCUAUCCGUCUGCGCCUCUAGAACCAGAGGUGUAUAUCUGUCUUAGUGUUUCCCAAUGCCUCCCAUUCCUAUUGUUCUUAAGUUCUCCUUCCCCUUCAUUUUAUCU
This is a non-coding RNA of Triticum aestivum (bread wheat), 171 nucleotides long. The record is from Rfam. NCBI's taxonomy places the organism in Eukaryota, Viridiplantae, Streptophyta, Magnoliopsida, Poales, Poaceae.